GACGAACGCUGGCGGCGUGCUUAACACAUGCAAGUCGAACGGAAAGGCCCUGCUUUUGUGGGGUGCUCGAGUGGCGAACGGGUGAGUAACACGUGAGUAACCUGCCUUGACUUUGGGAUAACUUCAGGAAACUGGGGCUAAUACCGGAUAGGAGCUCCUGCUGCAUGGUGGGGGUUGGAAAGUUUCGGCGGUUGGGGAUGGACUCGCGGCUUAUCAGCUUGUUGGUGGGGUAGUGGCUUACCAAGGCUUUGACGGGUAGCCGGCCUGAGAGGGUGACCGGCCACAUUGGGACUGAGAUACGGCCCAGACUCCUACGGGAGGCAGCAGUGGGGAAUAUUGCACAAUGGGCGGAAGCCUGAUGCAGCAACGCCGCGUGCGGGAUGACGGCCUUCGGGUUGUAAACCGCUUUCGCCUGUGACGAAGCGUGAGUGACGGUAAUGGGUAAAGAAGCACCGGCUAACUACGUG
RNAcentral lists this ribosomal RNA (467 nucleotides) under uncultured bacterium. Its description in RNAcentral is "partial 16S ribosomal RNA". It matches the Rfam family "Bacterial small subunit ribosomal RNA", at positions 28 to 507 of the family's 1533-position model. The record is from RNAcentral.